UAUAUAUAUAUAUAUAUAUACACAUAUAUAUAACAUGUAUAUUAUAUACAUACGUAUAUAAUAAUUUUCCACAUGGCACGAUAGUUCUAUUCACAUAUUAUUAUUCGAUUUCCUUCAGAAGAAGGAGAAAAAGGAGAAGGGGAAGAAGAAGCAACGGUUGUCGGUGUAAAUGUCUAUCGAUCGCUGAUAAUCUACGAUCGAGACAUCUGAUGGCAGCAAGUUAUGUAAUGGGACGACAAGCAGGAAAUAAAAUCGACUUGUAAUGUCAUGACGCAUCUUGCGGCAAAGCCAAAGUCACGCACAAUACACGAAACGACAGAUAAUACUAAUCUUAGAAGAAAUCAGAAUUGAAGAGAUUGAAAUGUACAACGUGCGAACGUGUGCGAUAUCUUUGAAGCUGGAUUUCUCAGUGCUACGAAGUUGACGAAUGUGCUAAGAUCACUCAAGUGACUGGCAGAUUGUUCGCUAGCAUUCUCAGCGGUGGUCCACGCUUACCACAGUUUCAAUCGAUAGAUUCUGAUCUUAAACGAACGCUUUGCCACGCCUUUCGCAAAAUAAGAUUUCUAGCUGAUCCUGAUUUGAACUUUGAUAUAGUCUAGUUUGCGAUUAAACGAUUUAUUGCGAUUUGUAUAUCUCUGUUUAGUGGUUCAAUAUGUAUGUACAAUCACGAAUAGUAUUUAUAUAAUUAUAUAUAUCUAUAUAUGUAUGU
This is a long non-coding RNA of Apis mellifera (honey bee), 709 nucleotides long. RefSeq lists it as uncharacterized. The transcript has 3 exons. NCBI's taxonomy places the organism in Eukaryota, Metazoa, Arthropoda, Insecta, Hymenoptera, Apidae. The record is from RefSeq and is a predicted model, not a curated record.